UACGGAGGGUGCAAGCGUUAUCCGGAUUUACUGGGUUUAAAGGGUGUGUAGGCGGGUCAUUAAGUCAGUGGUGAAAUCUCCGGGCUCAACCCGGAAACUGCCAUUGAUACUAAUGGUCUUGAAUGUUGUGGAGGUGGGCGGAAUGUGUCAUGUAGCGGUGAAAUGCAUAGAUAUGACACAGAACACCGAUUGCGAAGGCAGCCCACUACGCAAAUAUUGA
Molecule: ribosomal RNA, 220 nt
Filed under: uncultured prokaryote
Description: partial 16S ribosomal RNA
Rfam family: Bacterial small subunit ribosomal RNA
Source: RNAcentral